AACAAUUUAUGUUUUUUAACAUAAUACUGGAUAUCGCAUAUUCCGAAAUAAAGAUUAAGCCGGCAAAAACUCCUUGCCAGUUUCAUUCAUUAUAGAUCUUAUCUAACCAGAGAUUCGUAUACUUGAUAUAGUACUUAACAUAGUAGAAAUACAUUUUAUAACGUUCGCAACACUAUUCUACAUUCCGAAAAUACAUCAUAGCCGUAAUUUAAAAUCUUGAUCCAGUAAUCUACAGAUAGAAAUCAUUCGAAUUAUGUCAAGACCCUGAGCAAUAUAUCAACAUUGUUUGACGUCUCAGAAUUAAUAAAAUUAAAAACUAUUUUCUUAUCUGAAAAACCUUUUACGAGGUUUUAUGUAAGACCGUCCUAUUAUAAGCAAAUAACAAUGUAAUAAAAAAAUGUAUCUGUAGUCAAAAAUAAUGGAUAUGGAAGAAACUCCAAACGGUUUUUCAAUUUAAAAACACUAUUUAUUACUGACAAUCUUUUACAAAUAACAUUGUUUAGGGUUAAUUAUUUAUUUUUUGGGUAGCGACAAUGGUGUCAUUGGUGCAUUGACUAUGCCACUAUGCACUAUGAGGAUCGAUGUGUACUCGAUAUUCCGCCAUCGGCCCCUCCCUUCCUACUUACUCAUACAUACAAACCAACAAAAAUAUACAUACACAUUGUAUAGCUACAUAAUAAUUAUAUAUAAUAUUUAAAAUAUUUACAGAUGGAGAACCACCCCCGUUUCUCCUAAAAGUCGGAACAGGGGACCCAACAACCAACUCCCUUGGCUAAAGGGGCCAGGACGUGGCACUCCUCUCGAGCCGCUGAGAUUCGAACCCGAACGCCCUUCCAGUGAUGAGUCGCCAUGGGAUUUGGGGAAAAGUUGGCAUAUAAAUUAAUAAAAAAUAAAAUAUUAAAAAUUUGACUGUUUUGUUGCUCUGUUAGAAAAGUACCGAGAUGUAAGACGUCACCUGUAAUAAUUAUAAAGAUAAAGAAACAUUUUAAAUUUUUACGGCAUCUUAAAACGCGGCCUGUGGACUUUUUUACAAAUAUUAAGGCAAUGGCCGCUGAGAUUCGAACACAACCACCCUUCCAGUGAUGAGCCGUGUCAAACAAAGCUCCGUGUCAAAUCAACUUAUAUUUGAUUAUA
Long non-coding RNA from Cimex lectularius (bed bug), 1134 nucleotides. RefSeq lists it as uncharacterized. The record is from RefSeq and is a predicted model, not a curated record. Lineage: Eukaryota; Metazoa; Arthropoda; Insecta; Hemiptera; Cimicidae. The transcript is spliced from 3 exons.